RNAcentral lists this small RNA (134 nucleotides) under Pseudomonas saudiphocaensis. Lineage: Bacteria; Pseudomonadati; Pseudomonadota; Gammaproteobacteria; Pseudomonadales; Pseudomonadaceae. The record is from RNAcentral.
UGUGCUUAUGGACAGGCACAGCCGACAAGGAUGACGGCCAGGACAGCUGCGGGAUGUGGCUUCAUCAGGACGAUGAGCGGAAAUAGAGGGAGCAUGGAAGGAGGCGGGCGGGGCUUAACCCCCGCCCCUUUUUU